RNAcentral lists this ribosomal RNA (350 nucleotides) under uncultured eukaryote. Its description in RNAcentral is "partial 18S ribosomal RNA". It matches the Rfam family "Eukaryotic small subunit ribosomal RNA", at positions 592 to 976 of the family's 1831-position model. The record is from RNAcentral.
CAAUAGCGUAUAUUAAAGUUGUUGCAGUUAAAACGCUCGUAGUUGAACAUCUGCCCUUUUCCGGUUAGGUCCGCUCUGCGUGCACCUUCCGAAAUCGGCAUCCGUCUGCGUUGCUUCGCAUUGCAGACCGUUCACUUUGAGGAAAUUAGAGUGUUCAAAGCAGGCUUACGCCUUGAAUACUUCAGCAUGGAAUGAUUGAUAGGACUUCUAUCCUAUCUUGGUCCUAGGGACAGAAGUAAUGGUAAACAGGGUUGGUUGGGGGCAUUCGUACUGAACAGUCAGAGGUGAAAUUCUUAGAUUUGUUCAAGACGAACAACUGCGAAAGCAUUUGCCAAGGACGACCCCAUUAA